AAAUAUUUUAUUUGCCACACUAGUUACUGCAGCAAAGAAGGAGCCACCUGCUUUCAUUUGAAGUUUGCUUUCAUAGGUGUGAGGGCAGCCUGCUACCUCAUGUCAGCAUCCAUUAUAAGGCACCAUGCAAAGUGACAUGACACAGAAUGACAGCUGCAGCCACCUCAACAUGGCAUCCGUGAAGCUGAUAUCGACGAGGCUGCCGUUACAUGUGCUCCACAUCCUAGCUGAGAAAAAAUGGAGAAAUGCUCAGAAACUAUGAAUGAAUGCAGAAAAACACCCUAACAGAAACACACAACUGAGUUGGCUUUACCAUUAAGGAUUUCAUUAAGAUCAAAGGAACCUGUUUCAUCCAUCUUAAACCUUCACCUGGCGAGGUGAUUUUUAUAAAUCAUAGUCUACUUUUAAAGUUAUGCUUACUAGAAAACAGGUCACAAUGUUACCCGGGAUGUGGGGGAUACACCAGGAGGGAGUGGAGGAACAUACUUGCAAAAACAUCCGCAUUCCCCUUUAGUGGAUACAUUUCUUGCUCCAGUUUUUAAGAAUCACUGUUUGGAGACUGGUUUACCCGUUUCUGUAUGCCAAAGACAACAAACAAUCCACUCCUCGGAGUCCAAGAACUCAAGAUACCGCUUGCAACUAUUCAUGUAAAAGGCAGCUAGACAUAAGGGCCUGUGUUUCCUCUCUUGAUAACCUAGCCUUUUUAUUCCUUUCACUGAGGACAACGCACCAGAUUAAAGCACAUUAAAAGAUAAGGCAUUCAGUACCAUUAACUCUCACUGUGGACAAUGUUUAUCUUCAGGUUGUGAGAAAUCUGCUAAAAAACAUAUGCAAUGUUGGCAUGUUUUUACUUACAAACCUUUGAUUUUUUUAACCUAGAAUGUUGGGAUUAGCUGAUGGCUCCUUUCCUUAUUUACAUUAUUUUUGCAGUUUUUUUAUUUAAUCGGUAAAUGGUUAGUAUUCCCAGGGCCUUCCUUACCACCCACACAUAUUUGCUGACAUAGUAACACUGACAAGGAAAUAAAUGCUUAAAGAACUGUGGGCUGGAAAUGAACUUUACAUGCCCUUAACCACUUAGCUAGACUCAAGUAAUGAAGCAUCAAAAAGCAAACCCAUCAGUUAGGUUUUGUAUGUGAAACAGAAAAAAUACUUAGUUUAACUUGUUAUCUAUAGAAGCAUAACACACCUAAAAUAAAGACGAAUGUUUUUUGUUUGUUUUGUUUUGUUUUGUUUUCUGAAGGACGACAUCAUAAUCCUGAAGCUCUGCUGGAAUUCUAGCUUCCGAGGUUUGGCUGAGGAAUGCCGUUGGUGAGGCUCAUGCCUUCCCAUACGCACACACAAUGAAGAGAUUCACUCCAGUUCCAUAUAAAUACACCAUGUUCCAGUAGUUGGCUUACUAACUCAUUGCCCUGAACUUGACCUUUUCCUAGAGAAGGAGUGUCGGAAAUGUGGUUAGCUUCUGAGGCAAAUCCAUAAAAGCCAACCUAACACAUAUUGAACACAGAGUAGCUUUCCAAACCCAUGGAGUAUGGAUCCGCUUUCCCUGUGUCAAUAUUGUUUCCAUGGAAAAAUCCUUACGCAUUCCAAGUGGGGUGUUCUCUCUCCAUAUGGGGAAGCCCAAGCACAUCCCACUCUAGCAAGAGAAACAGAUAAGCACACCCCACUCUAGCAAGAGAAACAGAGGUAGCUCCCUGCCUUACGUCCUGUUUUUUCCCAUUCUGACGGGGAGGAACGUCUUUAGCAUACAGUGGCACUACAGCUAAUGUGGAUUGAGUCAGUCACUCAAGAAUUCAGGGCUAUGCCAAGGUUGAAGAUCAGAAACGGUCUUCCUAGAAGGUGGCUGAAGGGUUACAGACUGUCAUCAGAAAAUCCUUACAAACCAGAUUUAGCUGGUGUCUCAAUCACCACUGUCACUUAUACCAUGUGCCCCACUUCUCAGGGACUCAUAUUUCCUGUCACCACCUCUUGUGGCUUCUGAACAGCACCUCCAGCUUUCUCUUCUGCCUCUUCCUUACAGGAGUCCUCCUCUCUCUGGAACAAAGGUGCUGCCAUAUUCCUGGCGAUAGCCGUGGUGGAAUCAGAUGGAGAAUAAACCAUUUUCCUGGAAACAAUUCUACUUUGACUAAAUGAGAAACAAAACAUAAUUUUUCAUAUUAUUUCAACAGAAUAUUGCGUGCAAAAACUUCUAGUCAUUUUUAAUAGGCUUAGUGGAGUUAGCAAUUCUCUAAGUAAAACUUACAAAAGGACAUCUCUUUGAGGCAGAGAUUGGAGGCUCUGAAGAAAGGGCACUGGUGGGUAAGGGUUGAAAUUGGAAUCAUUACUGGCCCGUUUCUUUCUCCACUGUACCAGGUGAUCUGGAGCAAGUUCAAGGGCAUUGACAUAGGGUGGAAAACAAAGAGGGUCAAACUUUUAGGGGCAGCAAACGGAGGGGCAAGGAACACACAAAGGAGAAAAACCCAAAGCCAUAGCUGUGCAAUAGAAGCCAAUUUACUUGAGGUGCUACUACAAAUGUUCAUUUUUAAGGUGAGUGGAGAGACUAGAAACUACCUUGGCAUUACAUAGCAAGGGCAUUUGGGGGGAUUUCUGUAUAAAUUUUACUAAAAUGUAAAUGGUGCAAAGAAUUUCCAUCUUAAGCCACUUGUAUUAACAAGUAUUUCAAGUUUUGGGUUUACUAAAUUUAAAAAACAUUAGAGAUACAAAUUAAUUAAUAAAAGGAUGAUUUUCUUAUUUUGGGAAAUUGAAGAAUGCCAUUUUCUGCACCUAGCAUCAGACCGAGGAUAUGAGGUGAGUCUGCCUAUGUGAAUCGCCUUGCCUGUUUUCAUUAAUGACCGUGUCCUUUGUUAAUAUUCUUACGAUGAAAUGUAUUCAGAAAUAUCAUUUCAUUUUCUGAAAGUAAAAACUUAGUCAAAAAACAGAGCCAAAUGAGACACAGUGAUGGUGAACCAUUAAUCUCUUCCAAACGGGCUCUUUAAACUCUAAUAAUAAAAAGUAUCACCUGGCUUCGCAUUUCCCCUUUGCAUAUGCAUACAUUUUGAAUGCUUUUCAGUUAUCUUGUCUAUUGUUGUUUACGUGCAUUUUAAAAUCUAUGGUGAAUAUGUGUUCUCUCUGAGACUUGUUUAUGGAAUCCUCAAGAAAAGAGUGGAAGAAGCUGUUUAUUGAAAUCUCUUGUCUCACACUUGGCACCAGGACAUGCCAGGUUUAAAACAAUGUUUGCCUGAAGGUAUCCUUUUCUGAUCCAGCAUAGUUACUUACAUGUUGCCUGCUAGGUAUACUUCUCAACUGUUUUAACAUUAAUGUGUUGAUAAUAUUAAUAAUAAUAGAAGAAUUUGCAAUAACAACUGUCAUUUAUUACAGCAAUACAAUUUUUGAAAUAAAUUUUAAAUAGAUCAUUCUAAACACCACAGCCUAUGCAUGUGGAAACUGACCCUAAUAUAGCUUAGCCCUAUUAAGGAUUUUGCAAGGUAGCAUAACCAGUUAGUGGAAUAACUAGUAUAUGUGUCCAAUACUCCAGACUCAUGACCCCAAGCCCUCUGCCGCACGUCUUCUAAUCUUUCUAAAAGUAGCAGCAUUUAAAUUAUUUUUGUCAUUCAGGAAUGCUUAUUAAAUAAAUUUCAAUCACAUAUUUAAUAAAUGUAAAAAAUACCCAAA
Molecule: long non-coding RNA, 3648 nt
Organism: Homo sapiens (human)
Lineage: Eukaryota; Metazoa; Chordata; Mammalia; Primates; Hominidae
Exons: 2
Source: RefSeq, a predicted model, not a curated record